RNAcentral lists this ribosomal RNA (253 nucleotides) under uncultured bacterium. RNAcentral describes it as "partial 16S ribosomal RNA". It matches the Rfam family "Bacterial small subunit ribosomal RNA", at positions 524 to 776 of the family's 1533-position model. The record is from RNAcentral.
UACGGAGGGGGCGAGCGUUCUUCGGAAUUAUUGGGCGUAAAGGGCGCGUAGGCGGCUUGAUGUGUCAAAGGUGAAAUCCCUCGGCUCAACUGAGGAACUGCCUUUGAAACUGUCUGGCUUGAGGCCGGGAGAGGGUAGCGGAAUUCCCAGUGUAGCGGUGAAAUGCGUAGAUACUGGGAGGAACACCGGUGGCGAAGGCGGCUACCUGGACCGGUUCUGACGCUGAUGCGCGAAAGCGUGGGUAGCAAACAGG